GUCUGGGUAGCUUAGUGGUUAAAGCAUUCCCCCUUCUAUCCCUUACUACUGGGUUAACCAUCCUAUAGUUCGGUAUAAAAUAAAAUGGGGCACCACCCAAGUUCAACUCUUGGUCCAGACG
This 121-nucleotide transfer RNA is filed under the name Moniliophthora perniciosa FA553. It matches the Rfam family "tRNA". Rfam says of the family: Transfer RNA (tRNA) molecules are approximately 80 nucleotides in length. Their secondary structure includes four short double-helical elements and three loops (D, anti-codon, and T loops). Further hydrogen bonds mediate the characteristic L-shaped molecular structure. tRNAs have two regions of fundamental functional importance: the anti-codon, which is responsible for specific mRNA codon recognition, and the 3' end, to which the tRNAs corresponding amino acid is attached (by aminoacyl-tRNA synthetases). tRNAs cope with the degeneracy of the genetic code in two manners: having more than one tRNA (with a specific anti-codon) for a particular amino acid; and 'wobble' base-pairing, i.e. permitting non-standard base-pairing at the 3rd anti-codon position. Lineage: Eukaryota; Fungi; Basidiomycota; Agaricomycetes; Agaricales; Marasmiaceae. The record is from Rfam by way of RNAcentral.